UCCUGGUUAGCUCAGUUGGUAGAGCGCUCCAUUGGAAAAUGAUAGGUCCCUGGUUCGAUACCAGGACCAGGCG
This is a non-coding RNA of Ixodes scapularis (black-legged tick), 73 nucleotides long. Lineage: Eukaryota; Metazoa; Arthropoda; Arachnida; Ixodida; Ixodidae. The record is from Rfam.